RNAcentral lists this ribosomal RNA (265 nucleotides) under uncultured bacterium. Its description in RNAcentral is "partial 16S ribosomal RNA". It matches the Rfam family "Bacterial small subunit ribosomal RNA", at positions 524 to 776 of the family's 1533-position model. The record is from RNAcentral.
UACGUAGGGGGCGAGCGUUGUCCGAAGUUACUGGGCGUAAAGAGUACGUAGGUGGCUUGUUAAGAUACAUCUAAAGGUGACAGCUCAACUGUCAAUGGUGGUGUAAGACUGGCAGGCUUGAGGCAAGCAGAAGAGUGUGGAACUCCGAGUGUAGCGGUGGAAUGCGUAGAGAUUCGGAAGAACACCCAUGGCGAAGGCAGCACUCUGGGCUUGAACCGCAAGGUGAACCUGACACUGAGGUACGAAAGCCAGGGGAGCGAACGGG